RNAcentral lists this unclassified non-coding RNA (270 nucleotides) under Glomus sp. Its description in RNAcentral is "partial contains 5.8S ribosomal RNA and internal transcribed spacer 2". The stretch from base 1 to 71 matches the Rfam family "5.8S ribosomal RNA", at positions 84 to 154 of the family's 154-position model. The record is from RNAcentral. Lineage: Eukaryota; Fungi; Glomeromycota; Glomeromycetes; Glomerales; Glomeraceae.
GUGAAUCAUCGAAUUUUUGAACGCAAAUUGCACUUUCUGGUAUUCCGGGAAGUAUGCUUGUUUGAGGGUCAGUUAAAUAAAAAUCGGUGUUGUUGCUGCUUUUUGUUGUGACGAGUCGGAAUUGAGUUGUCUUACCUUCGGUUAUGUGACUUAAAAUUUUGAAUGAGUUUCGAACGUAUUUGAUUUUGUUACGUACGUUUGAGAUGUAGAAUUGUUUAUUAGGUUCGGUCUUCUUCAUGAUGCGCGCCUAUCAUUUGUCAUUAAAUGACU